ACCCUUUAAUGUUUGAUGUUCUAACGUGGACCCGUGAUCCGGGUUGCGGACAGUGUCUGGUGGGUAGUUUGACUGGGGCGGUCUCCUCCUAAAGAGUAACGGAGGAGCACGAAGGUUGGCUAAUCCUGGUCGGACAUCAGGAGGUUAGUGCAAUGGCAUAAGCCAGCUUGACUGCGAGCGUGACGGCGCGAGCAGGUGCGAAAGCAGGUCAUAGUGAUCCGGUGGUUCUGAAUGGAAGGGCCAUCGCUCAACGGAUAAAAGGUACUCCGGGGAUAACAGGCUGAUACCGCCCAAGAGUUCAUAUCGACGGCGGUGUUUGGCACCUCGAUGUCGGCUCAUCACAUCCUGGGGCUGAAGUAGGUCCCAAGGGUAUGGCUGUUCGCCAUUUAAAGUGGUACGCGAGCUGGGUUUAGAACGUCGUGAGACAGUUCGGUCCCUAUCUGCCGUGGGCGCUGGAGAACUGAGGGGGGCUGCUCCUAGUACGAGAGGACCGGAGUGGACGCAUCACUGGUGUUCGGGUUGUCAUGCCAAUGGCACUGCCCGGUAGCUAAAUGCGGAAGAGAUAAGUGCUGAAAGCAUCUAAGCACGAAACUUGCCCCGAGAUGAGUUCUCCCUGAGACUUAAAGUCUCCUGAAGGAACGUUGAAGACGACGACGUUGAUA
RNAcentral lists this ribosomal RNA (662 nucleotides) under Salmonella enterica. RNAcentral's name for it is "partial 23S ribosomal RNA". It matches the Rfam family "Bacterial large subunit ribosomal RNA", at positions 2202 to 2858 of the family's 2925-position model. RNAcentral also lists the same sequence under 1 other name. The record is from RNAcentral. Lineage: Bacteria; Pseudomonadati; Pseudomonadota; Gammaproteobacteria; Enterobacterales; Enterobacteriaceae.